This 253-nucleotide ribosomal RNA is filed under the name uncultured bacterium. RNAcentral's name for it is "partial 16S ribosomal RNA". It matches the Rfam family "Bacterial small subunit ribosomal RNA", at positions 524 to 776 of the family's 1533-position model. The record is from RNAcentral.
UACGGAGGGUGCAAGCGUUAUCCGGAUUCACUGGGUUUAAAGGGUGCGUAGGAGGACUGGUAAGUCAGUGGUGAAAUCCCCGAGCUUAACUUGGGAACUGCCGUUGAUACUAUCAGUCUUGAAUACCGUGGAGAUGAGCGGAAUAUGUCAUGUAGCGGUGAAAUGCUUAGAUAUGACAUAGAACACCAAUUGCGAAGGCAGCUCGUUACACGAAUAUUGACUCUGAGGCACGAAAGCGUGGGGAUCAAACAGG